GAGGGCGCUUAAUUAUUUUGACCCUAAUUAUACAAAAUAAUUGAAAUUCCAAAUUCUAUUCGCGCCUCUCUCUCAAACAGAUCGUGCGCUGAAGAGAAAUCCCCAAAUUCCUAGGGCACAGUAGCAGUUCGUCCUUCCUCCGUCUCCCUCAACGGCCUCCAUCCCCACCAGUCCGUGCGUCACAGUCCUCCAAGCCCUCCCUCGUCCGUUCCCAACGAUAGUAUAAAAAUUUGUUGACUUGCUGCUUGAAUAAUGUGUGCUGCUAUAGUUCCAUGGAGUCUCUCCCCAAGCUAGCGAUCUGAGUGUAUAAACUUAGCCAUGAAAAAAUAUUAGCAGCUCUUUUAUGCCAUGGGGGGAGUACCGCAUAUUACAUGUAAGCUAGCUCUUUAACUCUCUCUUCUUCGAGCAUGCCGUUAUUAACAUCUUUAAAGUGCUUGCAAGCAUGAUGCAGUUUGAUUAUUUCCUGAAAAUAUGUUCUUCACUACUGAAACUAAACUCUUGUUGCUGUAAAUAUUUGUACUAGGAAAGAGGAGGUUGAUUUGAGUGCUUGAAACUGUGAUAUAAGUGCAGGAAACUGGUGUUACAUGCCAAAAUUUGGUGGUGUUCGCUGAAAAUGUGAAUCAGACAUAUGAGUCUUAGUUGCUGAAAAUGAGAAUCGGGUGAAAGAAACACUACUCCAAUAAUUGAUGUCAAAAACAUCUUGAAGUGAUUGGCGAUGAAGUAAAAAUGUUUAGGUGAGGAUUGUAGAUGCCCUACUGCAAGUGUUCAUUUGUUUAAGUGGCGGAACAUUGGUAUAGAUAGUAACUUAAGAUAGGUUUCAUAAAUUUGAUAUAGCCGGCAAUACUUCUUAGUGUUCCUUGCUUCAACCUUGCCCGUUCAUCUCGUUAUUUGAUAUUCUUUUGACUCAUAGGUGGUGGGCAGAAUUAUGCUGUAAACAGAUCUUGCUACCUACAGACACUGGUAGAAUUAUCUUUUAUGUUUUUACCUAUCUCCUUACUUCAAAUAUGGAGAACUCAAGACAAUUGACCAAAGAAAUGUGCUCCAUCACUACUGAGUAUGGUUGGUGUUCUACCUUGUGGUUGUACUAUCUUUAAGGCAAGCUCAUGGUAUUUGUUGUUUUACUAUUUUCUUGUUGAGAAUCGACUAAGAUAGCCUUAAUCUCAGCACCUUCGCUAUUCUAACGUAUGUCCUAUGUUGUUUAAUGCAGCAUAUAUGCGCUGGGCAACGCAAACUCUUUUGGGACAUUGAAGGAAGCUGGACGGACAAACUAAUUGUUAGGGUCAUUCAUUGUAUUUAGUACCUUUUUUUUUGUAGCUUUCUUUUGAAAGAGGGAGUGAACACGCAGAUUAUGUGUGAGGACAUUUAGUGAAUUUCAAUCUAUUCUUUCUUGAUUUUGUGAUGAUUAAUAAAGUUUUGAAUUAUUAA
This is a long non-coding RNA of Rhododendron vialii, 1425 nucleotides long. RefSeq lists it as uncharacterized. Lineage: Eukaryota; Viridiplantae; Streptophyta; Magnoliopsida; Ericales; Ericaceae. The transcript has 2 exons. The record is from RefSeq and is a predicted model, not a curated record.